UCUGCUGGGAUGGCAGCAACAGCAAAGGCUUCAGGACAAGCUGGCCUCUCACCAAGAAGGGAAACUGGCAGUGGAGUAGAUGAGAGAGUGUUUAUGGAUGGCUCAGCCAGAAUGAAUAGCUAACGUGAUUGGUGAGGAUCCUCUGUCCCUGGCUCUUGUCCAUCCUCUGUCCCCAACUGCCACCAGGUUCCAGAAGCUACCACGAUGCCAACCAGACCUCACUGGGCAGACGACCCCACCAAUGUGUCCUAGAGCCCCGCUUUCCCAGAACCCCGCUCUACUAGUCAAAGAGAAAGACAGGCUGGGAGUAUGGAUCAACCUGCCAAUGCCCAUGUUCAGCGAAGAAGCAGUUACAGAAGCCAGACCUUUCAUCUUCUGCACCCCAUAAUGACCCUGGGUCCAUACUCCCAGAGGGAUAAAGAAUAGGAAAGCUAUCAGGGGAGGGGAUGGGAUAGGAAGUUCUGGUGGUGGGAAUUGUGUGGAGUUGUACCCUCUUAUCUUACAGUUUUGUCAGUGUUUCAUUUUUAUAAAUAAAAAUUAAAAAAAGAAAGAAAAAUAAAA
Long non-coding RNA from Erinaceus europaeus (western European hedgehog), 561 nucleotides. RefSeq lists it as uncharacterized. The transcript has 2 exons. Lineage: Eukaryota; Metazoa; Chordata; Mammalia; Eulipotyphla; Erinaceidae. The record is from RefSeq and is a predicted model, not a curated record.